RNAcentral lists this ribosomal RNA (460 nucleotides) under uncultured bacterium. Its description in RNAcentral is "partial 16S ribosomal RNA". It matches the Rfam family "Bacterial small subunit ribosomal RNA", at positions 338 to 795 of the family's 1533-position model. The record is from RNAcentral.
CCUACGGGGGGCAGCAGUGAGGAAUAUUGGUCAAUGGACGAGAGUCUGAACCAGCCAAGUAGCGUGAAGGAUGACUGUCCUAUGGGUUGUAAACUUCUUUUAUAUGGGAAUAAAAUGUUCCACGUGUGGGAUUUUGUAUGUACCAUAUGAAUAAGGAUCGGCUAACUCCGUGCCAGCAGCCGCGGUAAUACGGAGGAUCCGAGCGUUAUCCGGAUUUAUUGGGUUUAAAGGGAGCGUAGGUGGAUUGUUAAGUCAGUUGUGAAAGUUUGCGGCUCAACCGUAAAAUUGCAGUUGAAACUGGCAGUCUUGAGUACAGUAGAGGUGGGCGGAAUUCGUGGUGUAGCGGUGAAAUGCUUAGAUAUCACGAAGAACUCCGAUUGUGAAGGCAGUUCACUGGACUGCAACUGACACUGAGGCUCGAAAGUGUGGGUAUCAAACAGGAUUAGAUACCCUAGUAGUC